This 335-nucleotide ribosomal RNA is filed under the name uncultured Nitrospira sp. RNAcentral describes it as "bacterial SSU rRNA". It matches the Rfam family "Bacterial small subunit ribosomal RNA", at positions 335 to 672 of the family's 1533-position model. The record is from RNAcentral. Lineage: Bacteria; Pseudomonadati; Nitrospirota; Nitrospiria; Nitrospirales; Nitrospiraceae.
ACUCCUACGGGAGGCAGCAGUAAGGAAUAUUGCGCAAUGGGCGAAAGCCUGACGCAGCGACGCCGCGUGGGGGAUGAAGGUCUUCGGAUUGUAAACCCCUUUCGGGAGGGAAGAUGGAGCGAGCAAUCGUUCGGACGGUACCUCCAGAAGCAGCCACGGCCAACUUCGUGCCAGCAGCCGCGGUAAUACGAAGGUGGCAAGCGGUGUUCGGAUUCACUGGGCAUACAGGGUGUGUAGGCGGUUUGGUAAGCCUUCUGUUAAAGCUUCGGGCCCAACCCGGAAAGCGCAGAGGGUACUGCCAGGCUAGAGGGUGGGAGAGGAGCGCGGAAUUCCCG